GACGUAGGGGGCGAGCGUUGUCCGGAAUUAUUGGGCGUAAAGGGCUCGUAGGCGGUUCGGUAAGUCGGAUGUGAAAACUCAGGGCUCAACCCUGAGACGCCAUCUGAUACUGCUGUGACUUGAGUUCGGUAGAGGAGUGUGGAAUUCCUGGUGUAGCGGUGAAAUGCGCAGAUAUCAGGAGGAACACCAACGGCGAAGGCAGCACUCUGGGCCGAAACUGACGCUGAGGAGCGAAAGCGUGGGUAGCAAACAGG
RNAcentral lists this ribosomal RNA (254 nucleotides) under uncultured bacterium. RNAcentral describes it as "partial 16S ribosomal RNA". It matches the Rfam family "Bacterial small subunit ribosomal RNA", at positions 524 to 776 of the family's 1533-position model. The record is from RNAcentral. RNAcentral also lists the same sequence under 1 other name.